Molecule: ribosomal RNA, 722 nt
Filed under: Bacillus sp. (in: firmicutes)
Lineage: Bacteria; Bacillati; Bacillota; Bacilli; Caryophanales; Bacillaceae
Description: bacterial SSU rRNA
Rfam family: Bacterial small subunit ribosomal RNA
Source: RNAcentral
GCUAUAAUGCAGUCGAGCGGACAGAAGGGAGCUUGCUCCCGGAUGUUAGCGGCGGACGGGUGAGUAACACGUGGGUAACCUGCCUGUAAGACUGGGAUAACUCCGGGAAACCGGAGCUAAUACCGGAUAGUUCCUUGAACCGCAUGGUUCAAGGAUGAAAGACGGUUUCGGCUGUCACUUACAGAUGGACCCGCGGCGCAUUAGCUAGUUGGUGAGGUAACGGCUCACCAAGGCGACGAUGCGUAGCCGACCUGAGAGGGUGAUCGGCCACACUGGGACUGAGACACGGCCCAGACUCCUACGGGAGGCAGCAGUAGGGAAUCUUCCGCAAUGGACGAAAGUCUGACGGAGCAACGCCGCGUGAGUGAUGAAGGUUUUCGGAUCGUAAAGCUCUGUUGUUAGGGAAGAACAAGUGCAAGAGUAACUGCUUGCACCUUGACGGUACCUAACCAGAAAGCCACGGCUAACUACGUGCCAGCAGCCGCGGUAAUACGUAGGUGGCAAGCGUUGUCCGGAAUUAUUGGGCGUAAAGGGCUCGCAGGCGGUUUCUUAAGUCUGAUGUGAAAGCCCCCGGCUCAACCGGGGAGGGUCAUUGGAAACUGGGAAACUUGAGUGCAGAAGAGGAGAGUGGAAUUCCACGUGUAGCGGUGAAAUGCGUAGAGAUGUGGAGGAACACCAGUGGGCGAAGGCGACUCUCUGGUCUGUAACUGACGCUGAGGAGC